GAUGACCACUGAAAUUUCACUUGAGAUGAAUGUUA
This 35-nucleotide non-coding RNA is filed under the name Trypanosoma brucei brucei. The record is from RNAcentral. Lineage: Eukaryota; Euglenozoa; Kinetoplastea; Trypanosomatida; Trypanosomatidae.